RNAcentral lists this ribosomal RNA (301 nucleotides) under uncultured bacterium. RNAcentral's name for it is "partial 16S ribosomal RNA". It matches the Rfam family "Bacterial small subunit ribosomal RNA", at positions 509 to 809 of the family's 1533-position model. The record is from RNAcentral.
CAGUAGCCGCGGUAAUACGGAGGGUGCAAGCGUUAAUCGGAAUUACUGGGCGUAAAGCGCACGCAGGCGGUCUGACAAGUCAGAUGUGAAAUCCCCGGGCUUAACCUGGGAACUGCAUUUGAAACUGUCAGGCUGGAGUCUUGUAGAGGGGGGUAGAAUUCCAGGUGUAGCGGUGAAAUGCGUAGAGAUCUGGAGGAAUACCGGUGGCGAAGGCGGCCCCCUGGACAAAGACUGACGCUCAGGUGCGAAAGCGUGGGGAGCAAACAGGAUUAGAUACCCGGGUAGUCCCUGUCUCUUAUAA